RNAcentral lists this ribosomal RNA (1240 nucleotides) under metagenome. RNAcentral's name for it is "bacterial LSU rRNA". It matches the Rfam family "Bacterial large subunit ribosomal RNA", at positions 1564 to 2814 of the family's 2925-position model. The record is from RNAcentral.
UGAAUACGAGACGCUAAGGCGUCGAAGUAGUGUAUGUCAUACUUCCAAGAAAAGCUUGCACUGUCAUAGAUAAAAAACGCCUGUACCAUAACCGACACAGGUGGGUAGGUAGAGUAUACUAAGGGGCGCGAGAUAACUCUCUCUAAGGAACUCGGCAAAAUAACUCCGUAACUUCGGGAGAAGGAGUGCCUUAUUCGUAAGGUUGCAAUAACAAGAUCCAAGCAACUGUUUAUCAAAAACACAGGUCUCCGCUAAGUCGUAAGACGAUGUAUGGGGGCUGACGCCUGCCCAGUGCCAGAAGGUUAAAGAAGUUGGUUAGCAAUUGCGAAGCUGAUAACUGAAGCCCUGGUGAACGGCGGCCGUAACAAUAACGGUCCUAAGGUAGCGAAAUUCCUUGUCGGGUAAGUUCCGACCCGCACGAAAGGCGUAAUGAUUUGGAUACUGUCUCGGAGAGGGGCUCGGUGAAAUAGACUUGUCUGUGAAGAUGCGGACUACCUGCACCAGGACAGAAAGACCCUAUGAAGCUUUACUGUAACUUGAAAUUGAAAUUGGACUUUAUUCGCGCAGUAUAGGUGGGAGGCGUUGAUUAUAAUCUUGUGGGAUUAUUGGAGCCAUCAGUGAGAUACCACUCUUGUAAUGUUAGAUUUCUAACUUUGAAUCAUUAUCUGGUCAAAGAACAGUUUCAGGCGGGCAGUUUGACUGGGGCGGUCGCCUCCUAAACGGUAACGGAGGCGCACAAAGGUUUCCUCUGAACGGUUAGAAAUCGUAUCUAGAGUGUAAAGGCAUAAGGAAGCUUGACUGUGAGACCUACAAGUCGAGCAGGGACGAAAGUCGGUCUUAGUGAUCUGACGGUACUGAGUGGAAAGGCCGUCACUCAACGGAUAAAAGUUACUCUAGGAUAACAGGCUGAUCUCCCCCAAGAGUUCACAUCGACGGGGAGGUUUGGCACCUCGAUGUCGGCUCAUCGCAUCCUGGGGCGGUAGUACGUCCCAAGGGUUGGGCUGUUCGCCCAUGAAAGCGGUACGCGAGCUGGGUUCAGAACGUCGUGAGGCAGUUCGGUCCAUAUCCGGUGUAGGCGUUAGAAUAUUGAGAGGAGCCUUCUUUAGUACGAGAGGACCGAGAAGGACAUACCUCUGGUGUACCAGUUAUCGUGCCAACGGUAAACGCUGGGUAGCUAUGUAUGGAGUGGAUAACCGCUGAAAGCAUCUAAGUGGGAAGCCCACCUCAAGAUAAGUAUUCU